UAGGGAGAAGCCCUCUUUGGGGGUGACGGUACUUGCAGAAGAAGCGCCGGCUAGUUACGUCCCAGCAGCUGCGUAAUACGUAGGGCGCAAGCGUUAUCCGGAAUUAUUGGGCGUAAAGAGCUUGUAGGCGGUUUGUCGCGUCUGCUGUGACAGACCGGGGCUCAACUCNGGUUCUGCAGUGGGUACGGGCAGACUAGAGUGCAGUAGGGGAGACUGGAAUUCCUGGUGUAGCGGUGAAAUGCGCAGAUAUCAGGAGGAACACCGAUGGCGAAGGCAGGUCUCUGGGUUGUAACUGACGUUGAGGAGCGAAAGCAUGGGGAGCGACCAGGAUUAGAUACCCUGGUAGUCCAUGCCGUAAACGUUGGGCAUUAGGUGUGGGGGACAUUCCACGUUUUCCGCGCGGUAGCUAACGCAUUAAGUGCCCCCCUUGGGGAGUCCGGCCCCAAGGUUAAAACUCAAAGGAAUUGACGGGGGCCCGCCCAAGCGGCGGAGCAUGCGGAUUAAUUCGAUGCAACGCGAAGACCCUUACCAAGGCUUGCCAUGGACCGGAAAGCCCUGGAAACAGGUGCCCCGCUUGCGGCCGGUUUACAGGUGGUGCAUGGUUGUCGUCAGCUCGUGUCGUGAGAUGUUGGGUUAAGUCCCGCAACGAGCGCACCCCUCGUUCUAUGUUGCCAGCGGUUCGGCCGGGGACUCAUAGGAGACUGCCGGGGUCAACUCGGAGGAAGGUGGGGACGACGUCAAAUCAUCAUGCCCCUUAUGUCUUGGGCUUCACGCAUGCUACAAUGGCCGGUACAAAGGGUUGCGAUCCUGUGAGGUGGAGCUAAUCCCAAAAAGCCGGUUUCAGUUCGGAUUGGGGUCUGCACCUCGCCCCCAUGAAGUCGGAGUCGUUAGUAAUCGCAGAUCAGCAACGCUGCGGUGAAUACGUUCCCGGGCCUUGUACACACCGCCCGUCA
This 953-nucleotide ribosomal RNA is filed under the name Paenarthrobacter ureafaciens. RNAcentral describes it as "bacterial SSU rRNA". It matches the Rfam family "Bacterial small subunit ribosomal RNA", at positions 441 to 1399 of the family's 1533-position model. Lineage: Bacteria; Bacillati; Actinomycetota; Actinomycetes; Micrococcales; Micrococcaceae. The record is from RNAcentral.